GGCUGUUUUUUAAUUUUGGACAGUAUAUGUAUAUGUCGAAAAAUACAAACUAUUAGUAAAAAAUAUAUUUCAAACACAGAUUUUGCUUUGAGUAUAAAACAAUGGCUCUAACUUUUAUUCUGGUACCUGAUGUCAAAAAAUACAUUUGAUGAACUAAUGUCACAAAGCUUUUUUGAAGAACACAAAGAAUUAGAAGGCCAACAACAAUUAACAGAAUUAUGGAAGCAAUACAACACGACACUAGGGC
Non-coding RNA from Cinara cedri, 247 nucleotides. The record is from the annotation of a GenBank genome assembly. Lineage: Eukaryota; Metazoa; Arthropoda; Insecta; Hemiptera; Aphididae.